RNAcentral lists this ribosomal RNA (254 nucleotides) under uncultured bacterium. RNAcentral's name for it is "partial 16S ribosomal RNA". It matches the Rfam family "Bacterial small subunit ribosomal RNA", at positions 524 to 776 of the family's 1533-position model. The record is from RNAcentral.
UACGUAGGGGGCGAGCGUUGUCCGGAAUCAUUGGGCGUAAAGAGCUCGUAGGCGGUUCAGCAAGUCGGCUGUGAAAUUCCGAGGCUCAACCUCGGAACUGCAGUCGAUACUGCUGUGACUCGAGUCCGGUAGAGGAGAAUGGAAUUCCCGGUGUAGCGGUGAAAUGCGCAGAUAUCGGGAGGAACACCAGUAGCGAAAGCGACUUCCUGGACCAAUACUGACGCUCAUGUGCGAAAGCGUGGGGAGCAAACAGG